Molecule: ribosomal RNA, 464 nt
Filed under: Vreelandella stevensii
Lineage: Bacteria; Pseudomonadati; Pseudomonadota; Gammaproteobacteria; Oceanospirillales; Halomonadaceae
Description: partial 16S ribosomal RNA
Rfam family: Bacterial small subunit ribosomal RNA
Source: RNAcentral
CCUACGGGCGGCUGCAGUGGGGAAUAUUGGACAAUGGGCGAAAGCCUGAUCCAGCCAUGCCGCGUGUGUGAAGAAGGCCUUCGGGUUGUAAAGCACUUUCAGUGGGGAAGAAAGCCUUGGGGCUAAUACCCUCGAGGAAGGACAUCACCCACAGAAGAAGCACCGGCUAACUCCGUGCCAGCAGCCGCGGUAAUACGGAGGGUGCGAGCGUUAAUCGGAAUUACUGGGCGUAAAGCGCGCGUAGGCGGUCUGAUAAGCCGGUUGUGAAAGCCCCGGGCUCAACCUGGGAACGGCAUCCGGAACUGUCAGGCUAGAGUGCAGGAGAGGAAGGUAGAAUUCCCGGUGUAGCGGUGAAAUGCGUAGAGAUCGGGAGGAAUACCAGUGGCGAAGGCGGCCUUCUGGACUGACACUGACGCUGAGGUGCGAAAGCGUGGGUAGCAAACAGGAUUAGAUACCCCUGUAGU